RNAcentral lists this long non-coding RNA (329 nucleotides) under Pongo abelii (Sumatran orangutan). Its description in RNAcentral is "lincRNA". The record is from RNAcentral. Lineage: Eukaryota; Metazoa; Chordata; Mammalia; Primates; Hominidae.
GACCCGGGCUCCCGGGCUCCGGGUCUCCGGGGCUCCGGGGGGUCUGGCCUGGGUGGGACUGAGCCCAUCCAGGAACUGGGACUCCGGGGUUCUGGUGUGGGUGGAUCCGGGGCAGGCUCAGGACCAAGUCCCUCUCCUUCCACCAAGAAGCGCCCAGAGGCCGGCGGGAGCUCCAGGUUCACCUCCUCCUCCUCCAGGAAAACCCACUUCCAACUGGAUGUCUGGAUGAACUACUGAAAGCUGCUGAGUGUCCUGCAGCAGGUUUGGCAGAAAUCACGUUGCUGUCAUAGAGGGGUUCUUUUCAAACUGAUGUCUUAAAUCUUGUUCAG